GUAUUCCUCAAAGGUACAGGUUUUCAGGGGUUUCAUAGAUAGUUGCAGACAGGGAUGUAUGAAGGGAGAGGUACAUUUUGGCAGAAGAAAGGUCUUAAGAACUGUUUCCUGCAUCUGUAUUGUUAAGCAAGACUCUCCAGCCCAGCUCUUUGUGAUACCUUUCAUUCACAAGGGCCAAAUUCAUUCUUCUGGUCACAGCAUGGUAAACCCGGAGAAACCUGGCAGUUAUUGGCAUGUUUCCAUACAGCCUCUUCUACGCUGUCUCGGUGGAGGAUCCAUGACCUCGAGACAAGGCCAGCUGGGGACAAUGUGGCCAAAUGAUAAAAGGACUGGCUCGAUUUAGUGACCCCAAAAAGUAUGAAUGUUUUUAAUACGAAAAUAACAAACAUAUAAUCCAAAUGGCAUAAGGGGUGCACUAAAAAGGUGAGGGUCAGAGUGAUAAAAUAAUUCAUAUAAGCUACAGCCAGGGAGGAGUCUGAGGGUAAGGGUCCAGUAGGGAAGGGUGAUUAGGAAUAUGUAAAAUAAUGCACCAAACAUAAACCAAUAACAAUAAGGGAAACAACUUUCUGUCAACAUUUACAUAAAACUGAACAAGGGAUAGUGUGGGUAAUACUUUCUUCUCCAUAACUAGGAGGGUUUUUCCCAUGGCCUUCUGCCUGGGUUUCUAUUAACCCCAACACUACACUAUCUCAGAGAAUUUGGUUUACAAGGAAAGGAAAAGAAACAAAUGUGACUUCAGCAUCAUUUUUCACUUUCUAAACUGUUUCUUUUUAUUACAUGAUAUAAUGUGGGACCACAAGGUGAUUUAUAGCCCACCAAGAAGUGCCUCCAGUUACUGGCACUGUACAGCAAGAGAUGAUUGUGUCAGUAUCAUGGUGCUCUGGCUCCACAUUCAUUGCAAGGACUUGGAUUAAGAAAUAUAUCAGCUGUUGAAGCUAGAUGCAAAGCACUGAUAGCUUUAUGCUGUUGGCCCUCUUAUCUUAUGCCAUGAGUCUUUCUCUCUUGUUCGUCUCAUCUUUCUGCAGUAAUUGGAAGGCUGAAGUGGAGCACUCAGAUGGUUUUGGUAAUAAAUCUCACAUUAUUAACCUCA
Molecule: long non-coding RNA, 1090 nt
Filed under: Cyanistes caeruleus (blue tit)
Lineage: Eukaryota; Metazoa; Chordata; Aves; Passeriformes; Paridae
Description: lncRNA (ENSCCEG00000014119.1)
Source: RNAcentral